AACGAACGCUGGCGGCAUGCCUAACACAUGCAAGUCGAACGAGACCUUCGGGUCUAGUGGCGCACGGGUGCGUAACGCGUGGGAAUCUGCCCUCAGGUACGGAAUAACUCAGGGAAACUUGAGCUAAUACCGUAUAAUGACUUCGGUCCAAAGAUUUAUCGCCUGGGGAUGAGCCCGCGUCGGAUUAGCUAGUUGGUGAGGUAAAGGCUCACCAAGGCGACGAUCCGUAGCUGGUCUGAGAGGAUGAUCAGCCACACUGGGACUGAGACACGGCCCAGACUCCUACGGGAGGCAGCAGUGGGGAAUAUUGGACAAUGGGCGCAAGCCUGAUCCAGCAAUGCCGCGUGAGUGAUGAAGGCCUUAGGGUUGUAAAGCUCUUUUACCCGGGAAGAUAAUGACUGUACCGGGAGAACAAGCCCCGGCUAACUCCGUGCCAGCAGCCGCGGUAAUACGGAGGGGGCUAGCGUUGUUCGGAAUUACUGGGCGUAAAGCGCACGU
Molecule: ribosomal RNA, 498 nt
Filed under: uncultured bacterium
Lineage: Bacteria
Description: bacterial SSU rRNA
Rfam family: Bacterial small subunit ribosomal RNA
Source: RNAcentral